Molecule: ribosomal RNA, 889 nt
Filed under: uncultured marine group I thaumarchaeote
Lineage: Archaea; Thermoproteati; Nitrososphaerota
Description: SSU rRNA
Rfam family: Archaeal small subunit ribosomal RNA
Source: RNAcentral
UCUCGCCGGACCUGACUGCUAUCGGAUUGAUACUAAGCCAUGCGAGUCUUUGUAGUAAUACAAGGCAGACGGCUCAGUAACACGUAGUCAACCUACCCUAUGGACGAGAAUAAUCUCGGGAAACUGAGCAUAAUUCUUGAUAGAUCAUAAUGCCUGGAAUGGUUUAUGGUUAAAAUGAUUCGUCACCAUAGGAUGGGACUGCGGCCUAUCAGCUUGUUGGUGAGGUAAUGGCCCACCAAGGCGAUUACAGGUACGGGCUCUGAGAGGAGAAGCCCGGAGAUGGGUACUGAGACACGGACCCAGGCCCUAUGGGGCGCAGCAGGCGAGAAAACUUUGCAAUGUGCGAAAGCACGACAAGGUUAAUCCGAGUGAUUUCUGCUAAAGAAAUCUUUUGCCAGUCAUAAAACCACUGGUGGAUAAGGGGUGGGCAAGUUCUGGUGUCAGCCGCCGCGGUAAAACCAGCACCUCAAGUGGUCAGGAUGAUUAUUGGGCCUAAAGCAUCCGUAGCCGGCUUUGUUAGUUUUCGGUUAAAUCCAUGUGCUCAACGCAUGGGCUGCCGAAAAUACUGCAUAGCUAGGGAGUGGGAGAGGUAGACGGUACUCAGUAGGAAGGGGUAAAAUCCUUUGAUCUAUUGAUGACCACCUGUGGCGAAGGCGGUCUACCAGAACACGUUCGACGGUGAGGGAUGAAAGCUGGGGGAGCAAACCGGAUUAGAUACCCGGGUAGUCCCAGCCGUAAACGAUGCAGACUCGAUGAUGCAUUGGCAUAAUAGCCAAUGCAGUGUCGCAGGGAAGCCGUUAAGUCUGCCGCCUGGGAAGUACGUACGCAAGUAUGAAACUUAAAGGAAUUGGCGGGGGAGCACCACAAGGGGUGAAGCCUGCGGUUCAAU